RNAcentral lists this ribosomal RNA (1175 nucleotides) under uncultured Bifidobacterium sp. RNAcentral describes it as "bacterial SSU rRNA". It matches the Rfam family "Bacterial small subunit ribosomal RNA", at positions 173 to 1357 of the family's 1533-position model. The record is from RNAcentral. Lineage: Bacteria; Bacillati; Actinomycetota; Actinomycetes; Bifidobacteriales; Bifidobacteriaceae.
UGCUCCAAUUUACCGCAUGGUCCUCUGGGAAAAAUUCAUUCGGUAUGGGAUGGGGUCGCGUCCUAUCAGCUUGAUGGCGGGGUAACGGCCCACCAUGGCUUCCACCGGUAACCGGCCUGAAAAGGCGACCGGCCACAUUGGGACUGAAAUACCGCCCAGACUCCUACCGGAGGCAACAGUGGGGAAUAUUGCACAAUGGGCGCAAGCCUGAUGCAGCGACCCCCCCUGCGGGAUGACAGCCUUCCGGUUGUAAACCGCUUUUUACUGGGAACAAGCCCUUCGGGGUGAGUGUACCUUUCUAAUAACCACCGACUAACUACCUGCCAGCAGCCGCGGUACUACGUAGGGUGCAAGCGUUAUCCAUAAUUAUUGGGCAUAGAGUGCUCGUAGGCGGUUCGUCGCCUGCGGUGUGAAAGUCCAUCUCUUAACGGUGGAUCCCCGCCGGGUACGGGCGGGCUUGAGUGCGGUAGGGGAGACUGGAAUUCCCGGUGUAACGGUGGAAUGUGUAGAUAUCGGGAAGAACACCAAUGGCGAAGGCAGGUCUCUGGGCCGUCACUGACGCUGAGGAGCGAAAGCGUGGGGAGCGAACAGGAUUAGAUACCCUGGUAGUCCACGCCGUAAACGGUGGAUGCUGGAUGUGGGGCCCGUUCCACGGGUUCCGUGUCGGAGCUAACGCGUUAAGCAUCCCGCCUGGGGAGUACGGCCGCAAGGCUAAAACUCAAAGAAAUUGACGGGGGCCCGCACAAGCGGCGGAGCAUGCGGAUUAAUUCGAUGCAACGCGAAGAACCUUACCUGGGCUUGACAUGUUCCCGACGGUCGUAGAGAUACGGCUUCCCUUCGGGGCGGGUUCACAGGUGGUGCAUGGUUGUCGUCAGCUCGUGUCGUGAGAUGUUGGGUUAAGUCCCGCAACGAGCGCAACCCUCGCCCCGUGUUGCCAGCGGAUUAUGCCGGGAACUCACGGGGGACCGCCGGGGUUAACUCGGAGGAAGGUGGGGAUGACGUCAGAUCAUCAUGCCCCUUACGUCCAGGGCUUCACGCAUGCUACAAUGGCCGGUACAACGGGAUGCGACGCGGCGACGCGGAGCGGAUCCCUGAAAACCGGUCUCAGUUCGGAUCGCAGUCUGCAACUCGACUGCGUGAAGGCGGAGUCGCUAGUAAUCGCGAAUCAGCAACGU